UACCUGCAGCUCAAGUGGUGAUCAUUAUUAUUGGGCCUAAAACGUCCGUAGCCGGUUUAGUAAAUGCCUGGGUAAAUCGUGUAGCUUAACUAUACGACUUCCGGGUAGACUGCUAAACUUGAGACCGGGAGAGGCUAGAGGUACUCCUGGGGUAGAGGUGAAAUUCUGUAAUCCUAGGGGGACCACCAGUGGCGAAGGCGUCUAGCUAGAACGGGUCUGACGGUGAGGGACGAAGCCCUGGGGCACAAACCGGAUUAGAUACCCGGGUAGUCCAGGGUGUAAACGCUGCUUGCUUGAUGUUAGUUGGGCUCCGAGCCCAACUAGUGUCGGAGAGAAGUUGUUAAGCAAGCUGCCUGGGAAGUACGGUCGCAAGGCUGAAACUUAAAGGAAUUGGCGGGGGAGCACAGCAACAGGUGGAGCGUGCGGUUU
This 429-nucleotide ribosomal RNA is filed under the name uncultured archaeon. Its description in RNAcentral is "bacterial SSU rRNA". It matches the Rfam family "Archaeal small subunit ribosomal RNA", at positions 474 to 903 of the family's 1478-position model. The record is from RNAcentral.